Benincasa hispida (wax gourd) is the source of this 1465-nucleotide long non-coding RNA. RefSeq lists it as uncharacterized. Lineage: Eukaryota; Viridiplantae; Streptophyta; Magnoliopsida; Cucurbitales; Cucurbitaceae. The record is from RefSeq and is a predicted model, not a curated record.
CGACGAGCGGGGUGGCAACUCCGAUGGCGAGCCAUCCUUCAAGUGGCUGAAUGAGAGAGAGGGGGUGCGGCGUGAGGGGGUGCGAGAGGCUUGCGGCGCUUCACUUCGUACACAGUAGAGAGGGAGACGCGUGAGAGAGUGAUUUAAGAUGGCAACACGUUUCAGAAUACCCAUAGCCGACCGAUUUCUUGGUCAAGUAACGAGCUUAGCUCACAUUGCUAAUGCAAACAAGAUUGUAAAGGAGAAGCUUACGCCAAAACAGUUAGACAUGUUCAAGAGAAUAACUUUUGGGUGAUUUGUAGACAUUAACAUGGUGUUUAACAACCCAAUUAUCCAUCACAAGUUGUUGAGAGAAGUGAAGAGAACGAGAUUAGACUUAAUGUCAUUCUCUAUUUGUGGAAAGGUUGUCACUUCUUCAAAUGAUGAUUUUUUGUUGAUGACUAGUUUGUGGCGAUCCCCAACACGAGUUGAUCAAAAUCAGUAGUCCUCGUAUGAACUUGCAAUCGAGUAUUUUGGUAAUCGAGUGGCGAAUGACACCUUACAUAUCCGUCAACUUGAAGAAAAAUACAAGGAGUUGGAGUUUGAAAAUGAUGAGGAUGCUACGAAGAUCACAACAGUCUACUAUACUGAGGUUGCAAUGAUGGGAAAAAAACAAACAGAAAAAUGCAGUGGACCUCAAACGUUUUAAGGACGUUCAAAAUUUAGAGUACUACAACAGUCUUGAUUAGGGUACCAUUAUUUGGGAGAGGACACUGGAUGCCCUAAAGACUGCGUUGAAUGAUAAAAGCAGUCUAUACAAAAUGAAGGUCAAAGGAAAUAAAAAUUACGUUGUGAAGUACUUUUUGUGUGGAUUUCCACAAGCGUUCCAGGUAUGGAUGUACGAGAUCCUAGUUGCAUCGAUAGUUGGGAACAUUGUGGAGCGAAGGAGCAAGGUGGCUUUGCCCUGCAUAUUUCGAUGGUCAUGCUCCCACUCAGUGUCCUUCAAAGUACUCGAGAGAGAGAUAUUCGAGUCUAACAAUGUACAUUUACUCUAUGCAUAAUGUGUUUAUCUGGUUGUUAAAUUGACACUAACCAGUUUACUGGGUUAUUAAUGCAAAUAAAGGUUAAAGAGGGUACUAUCAUGACAGAUGCUGAAAGGGAGUUUCGGGAUGCCCCAGUGGACAGACGACCUAUAUUUCAUCUACGUGCUGAUGAUGAUAGUUCUGAAAGUGGCAAUAGGUCGACUAGUGAUGGGGGUAGUUCUGAAAGUGAAAGUAACUGUGUGAUCAUCGUGGAGAUGACAAUGAUGAAGUUAUUAGGGUGGAGGGAGGGGAUGAACACGAGCAUUCUGAGUAUGAGGAUGCUGAAUGUGGAAAAGUGGAAGGAAGGACCUACACACCUAGUGAUGAUAUGUUCCAUGAUGUGAUGGGGGAUGUGCGCGAUGAGGACAAGUUGAACCAACUUGAUGUCUAUCUUGCAAACUCCU